This 422-nucleotide long non-coding RNA is filed under the name Brassica napus (rape). RNAcentral's name for it is "long non-coding RNA (BNAP_LNC023433)". Lineage: Eukaryota; Viridiplantae; Streptophyta; Magnoliopsida; Brassicales; Brassicaceae. The record is from RNAcentral.
AAACUAAACAAUACCUCACAUUUGAAUAGAAAAUAAGCUCAAAUAAUUCUGAGAAAGUAGAAUCAAUAUGCAUCGGACAAAGGUAUCUUUUGAACUUGAACAUUUCCUAGUAACAACUUAUCGGAUUUACUUUGUGGGUAAUGAACUAUAGUCUUGAAUUAACCACAUUUUAUAGUAAACCUAGACAAUAAGUGAAACACAUAUCUCAUCAGCUCAUUUCUAGUUUAUACGGUUGUGAUCAUUUUGGUCCUGAACAUAUCCUGACUUCGUGAGAGCUCUAGAAAAUUUAGCCAUAUCAAUUCUCAUAGGUGCGACCCGACACCACUCUCAUAUAGGUAACAUUAGUUAAAGAUAGUCCAUUCUAUCUCUAUUUCACAAAAGAUACUAACAUUAUUAAGAAUAUAUUAUCCAACCCUUAAUCA